GUAAGCACCGAAAAUAAGACAAGAAAAAGUUUUCUUAUCCUCAAUUUCAGUUCUGCUGCUUCUUUAAUUAAGGAUUAUCAGCCAGGUGAAGUUCGAGCUUCAAUGUGCACCUUGAGUUGUUGCAGCCAGUCAGUAAAAUGUGUGAUCAAACUGAGCUUUUGCAUGCAGUCUUUGGUGCCGGUGUUAUCCUGAAGUGUGGAAGAGCUAUAGCAAUGCUUCCAGUUUUAUGGGAUCAAUCAUGUGUGAAUCGAUGCUGGACAACCUGCUGCAAAAGCCAGUCACGUCUGUCGAAUACGCCCACCGAGAUCCCCGAACAACUUUUUACCGGAGAUUACGAAACAAACCGCCGGAAAAAAGAGACCUUCUACUAAAAAUUCAGCUCGACCGUAUUUCGAAGACCAACGACACGAAAGUGCGCGUCUUCAUCACGUGACGGAGCGCGACGACCAGGGAUAGAUGGUGAUCGAAGUGGUCAUGUUUUAAAAAAAGACGAUUGUCCUUCAAAUGGUUCGAAAUGGAAGAUUUAAUCAUUCACCGAAGAAACAAGUCGUUGACUCCUACCAAAUGACUCAAAUGUCAAUUGGUAUAAAACCCAUCCCCAGCAUCGUCAACCUGCAGAAGGAAAGGCCAUUGCAAUGUCUUUCACUUUCGAAGGUCACGGAGAUCAUUAAUACGUAAAACGUGUCAUGCAGUGUGUGAAGAGUGCAUGUCAUGAAGAGGUUGGGUGAGAACGACACGUGUUUCAUCAUUAUCAAGCAAGUACAAUAGCCGCAAGGCUUAAGAGGUGGAGGGAUGAAAAAAAUUGUAUAAAAGGAGAGAGAAAAGGCAAUUGAAAUAAGUCGAGCGAGCAUCUCCGACACGGCAACAACUGCGGCGCACUAUCUGUCACCAACUGCCUUCUUCUUCGUGUUAAAUCAGUUCGCAAUCAUGGCAACAGCAGCGCAAAAGUACUACACCACGUCAUCGCCUUACUACACAACAACGUCAACAUACGUAACACCUGCCUAGUACACCGAGGCCCUCAAGUACUACAUCACUAAGGAUGCAGAGUAUUACAUGAAAACUUACGCUGCUCCCAGCUACUACGCCAAAGCCCCGAAGUAUUACUCUGCCUCAACUUACAUCACCAUCGAACGCAGUACAUCACCUGAGUACUACACCACCAAAGCACCUAAGUAUUAUAC
Long non-coding RNA from Daphnia pulicaria, 1184 nucleotides. RefSeq lists it as uncharacterized. The transcript is spliced from 5 exons. The record is from RefSeq and is a predicted model, not a curated record. Lineage: Eukaryota; Metazoa; Arthropoda; Branchiopoda; Diplostraca; Daphniidae.